Molecule: ribosomal RNA, 707 nt
Filed under: uncultured bacterium
Lineage: Bacteria
Description: bacterial SSU rRNA
Rfam family: Bacterial small subunit ribosomal RNA
Source: RNAcentral
UCAACCUGGGAACUGCGUUNUGAACUGGGUGACUAGAGUGUGUCAGAGGGAGGUAGAAUUCCACGUGUAGCAGUGAAAUGCGUAGAGAUGUGGAGGAAUACCGAUGGCGAAGGCAGCCUCNUGGGAUAACACUGACGUUCAUGCUCGAAAGCGUGGGUAGCAAACAGGAUUAGAUACCCUGGUAGUNCACGCCCUAAACGAUGUCAAUUAGCUGUUGGGCAACUUGAUUGCUUAGUAGCGUAGCUAACGCGUGAAAUUGACCGCCUGGGGAGUACGGUCGCAAGAUUAAAACUCAAAGGAAUUGACGGGGACCCGCACAAGCGGUGGAUGAUGUGGAUUAAUUCGAUGCAACGCGAAGAACCUUACCUGGUCUUGACAUGUACGGAAUCCUCCAGAGACGGAGGAGUGCCUUCGGGAGCCGUAACACAGGUGCUGCAUGGCUGUCGUCAGCUCGUGUCGUGAGAUGUUGGGUUAAGUCCCGCAACGAGCGCAACCCUUGUCAUUAGUUGCCAUCAUUUAGUUGGGCACUCUAAUGAGACUGCCGGUGACAAGCCGGAGGAAGGUGGGGAUGACGUCAAGUCCUCAUGGCCCUUAUGACCAGGGCUUCACACGUCAUACAAUGGUCGGUACAGAGGGUAGCCAAGCCGCGAGGUGGAGCCAAUCUCACAAAACCGAUCGUAGUCCGGAUUGCACUCUGCAACUCGAGU